GGCAGACGGGUGAGUAAUGCAUAGGAAUCUACCUAGUAGUAUGGGAUAGCCACUAGAAAUGGUGGGUAAUACUGUAUAAUCCCUGCGGGGGAAAGAUUUAUCGCUAUUAGAUGAGCCUAUGUUAGAUUAGCUAGUUGGUAGGGUAAAGGCCUACCAAGGCGAUGAUCUAUAGCUGGUCUGAGAGGAUGAUCAGCCACACUGGGACUGAGAUACGGUCCAGACUCCUACGGGAGGCAGCAGUGGGGAAUAUUGGACAAUGGGCGCAAGCCUGAUCCAGCUAUGCCGCGUGAGUGAGGAAGGCCUUAGGGUUGUAAAACUCUUUCAGUAGGGAAGAUAAUGACGGUACCUACAGAAGAAGUCCCGGCAAACUCCGUGCCAGCAGCCGCGGUAAUACGGAGGGGGCAAGCGUUGUUCGGAAUUAUUGGGCGUAAAGGGCAUGUAGGCGGUUCGGUAAGUUAAAGGUGA
This 465-nucleotide ribosomal RNA is filed under the name uncultured Anaplasma sp. RNAcentral describes it as "bacterial SSU rRNA". It matches the Rfam family "Bacterial small subunit ribosomal RNA", at positions 97 to 597 of the family's 1533-position model. The record is from RNAcentral. Lineage: Bacteria; Pseudomonadati; Pseudomonadota; Alphaproteobacteria; Rickettsiales; Anaplasmataceae.